CCUACGGGUGUCAUCAGUGAGGAAUAUUGGUCAAUGGACGAGAGUCUGAACCAGCCAAGUAGCGUGAAGGCUGACUGCCCUCUGGUUUGUAAACUUCUUUUAUAUGGGAGUACAACCUUCCACGUGUUGGAUUUUGUAUGUACCAUACGAAUAAGGAUCGGCUCACUACGUGCCAUCAGCCGCGGUACUACGGAGGAUCCGAGCGUUAUCCGGAUUUAUUGGGUUUAAAGGGAGCGGAGGUGGAUUGUUAAGUCAGUUGUGAAAGUUUGUGGCUCAACCGUAAAAUUGCAGUUGAAACUGGCAGUCUUGAGUACAGUAGAGGUGGGCGGAAUUCGUGGUGUAGCGGUGAAAUGCUUAGAUAUCACGAAGAACUCCGAUGGCGAAGGCAGUUCACUGGACUGCAACUGACACUGAGGCUCGAAAGUGUGGGUAUCAAACAGGAUUAGAUACCCGUGUAGUC
RNAcentral lists this ribosomal RNA (460 nucleotides) under uncultured bacterium. Its description in RNAcentral is "partial 16S ribosomal RNA". It matches the Rfam family "Bacterial small subunit ribosomal RNA", at positions 338 to 795 of the family's 1533-position model. The record is from RNAcentral.